UCCCAGAUAGCUCAGUCGGUAGAGCAUCAGACUUUUAAUCUGAGGGUCCAGGGUUCAAGUUCUGUUUGGGCG
RNAcentral lists this transfer RNA (72 nucleotides) under Danionella translucida. It matches the Rfam family "tRNA". From Rfam's summary of the family: Transfer RNA (tRNA) molecules are approximately 80 nucleotides in length. Their secondary structure includes four short double-helical elements and three loops (D, anti-codon, and T loops). The record is from Rfam by way of RNAcentral. Lineage: Eukaryota; Metazoa; Chordata; Actinopteri; Cypriniformes; Danionidae. RNAcentral also lists the same sequence under 1 other name.